UACGGGGGGGGCAAGCGUUGUUCGGAAUUACUGGGCGUAAAGGGCUCGUAGGCGGCCAACUAAGUCAGACGUGAAAUCCCUCGGCUUAACCGGGGAACUGCGUCUGAUACUGGAUGGCUUGAGUUCGGGAGAGGGAUGCGGAAUUCCAGGUGUAGCGGUGAAAUGCGUAGAUAUCUGGAGGAACACCGGUGGCGAAGGCGGCAUCCUGGACCAACACUGACACUGAGGAGCGAAAGCCAGGGGAGCAAACGGG
Molecule: ribosomal RNA, 253 nt
Filed under: uncultured bacterium
Lineage: Bacteria
Description: partial 16S ribosomal RNA
Rfam family: Bacterial small subunit ribosomal RNA
Source: RNAcentral